AUUGAACGCUGGCGGCAUGCCUUACACAUGCAAGUCGAACGGCAGCACGGGUGCUUGCACCUGGUGGCGAGUGGCGAACGGGUGAGUAAUACAUCGGAACAUGUCCUGUAGUGGGGGAUAGCCCGGCGAAAGCCGGAUUAAUACCGCAUACGAUCUACGGAUGAAAGCGGGGGACCUUCGGGCCUCGCGCUAUAGGGUUGGCCGAUGGCUGAUUAGCUAGUUGGUGGGGUUAAGGCCUACCAAGGCGACGAUCAGUAGCUGGUCUGAGAGGACGACCAGCCACACUGGGACUGAGACACGGCCCAGACUCCUACGGGAGGCAGCAGUGGGGAAUUUUGGACAAUGGGCGAAAGCCUGAUCCAGCAAUGCCGCGUGUGUGAAGAAGGCCUUCGGGUUGUAAAGCACUUUUGUCCGGAAAGAAAUCCUUGGCCCUAAUACGGUCGGGGGAUGACGGUACCGGAAGAAUAAGCACCGGCUAACUACGUG
RNAcentral lists this ribosomal RNA (486 nucleotides) under uncultured bacterium. RNAcentral's name for it is "partial 16S ribosomal RNA". It matches the Rfam family "Bacterial small subunit ribosomal RNA", at positions 30 to 507 of the family's 1533-position model. The record is from RNAcentral.